RNAcentral lists this ribosomal RNA (2272 nucleotides) under Escherichia coli. RNAcentral's name for it is "partial 23S ribosomal RNA". It matches the Rfam family "Bacterial large subunit ribosomal RNA", at positions 693 to 2925 of the family's 2925-position model. Lineage: Bacteria; Pseudomonadati; Pseudomonadota; Gammaproteobacteria; Enterobacterales; Enterobacteriaceae. The record is from RNAcentral.
CGUUAAGUUGCAGGGUAUAGACCCGAAACCCGGUGAUCUAGCCAUGGGCAGGUUGAAGGUUGGGUAACACUAACUGGAGGACCGAACCGACUAAUGUUGAAAAAUUAGCGGAUGACUUGUGGCUGGGGGUGAAAGGCCAAUCAAACCGGGAGAUAGCUGGUUCUCCCCGAAAGCUAUUUAGGUAGCGCCUCGUGAAUUCAUCUCCGGGGGUAGAGCACUGUUUCGGCAAGGGGGUCAUCCCGACUUACCAACCCGAUGCAAACUGCGAAUACCGGAGAAUGUUAUCACGGGAGACACACGGCGGGUGCUAACGUCCGUCGUGAAGAGGGAAACAACCCAGACCGCCAGCUAAGGUCCCAAAGUCAUGGUUAAGUGGGAAACGAUGUGGGAAGGCCCAGACAGCCAGGAUGUUGGCUUAGAAGCAGCCAUCAUUUAAAGAAAGCGUAAUAGCUCACUGGUCGAGUCGGCCUGCGCGGAAGAUGUAACGGGGCUAAACCAUGCACCGAAGCUGCGGCAGCGACACUGUGUGUUGUUGGGUAGGGGAGCGUUCUGUAAGCCUGUGAAGGUGUGCUGUGAGGCAUGCUGGAGGUAUCAGAAGUGCGAAUGCUGACAUAAGUAACGAUAAAGCGGGUGAAAAGCCCGCUCGCCGGAAGACCAAGGGUUCCUGUCCAACGUUAAUCGGGGCAGGGUGAGUCGACCCCUAAGGCGAGGCCGAAAGGCGUAGUCGAUGGGAAACAGGUUAAUAUUCCUGUACUUGGUGUUACUGCGAAGGGGGGACGGAGAAGGCUAUGUUGGCCGGGCGACGGUUGUCCCGGUUUAAGCGUGUAGGCUGGUUUUCCAGGCAAAUCCGGAAAAUCAAGGCUGAGGCGUGAUGACGAGGCACUACGGUGCUGAAGCAACAAAUGCCCUGCUUCCAGGAAAAGCCUCUAAGCAUCAGGUAACAUCAAAUCGUACCCCAAACCGACACAGGUGGUCAGGUAGAGAAUACCAAGGCGCUUGAGAGAACUCGGGUGAAGGAACUAGGCAAAAUGGUGCCGUAACUUCGGGAGAAGGCACGCUGAUAUGUAGGUGAAGUCCCUCGCGGAUGGAGCUGAAAUCAGUCGAAGAUACCAGCUGGCUGCAACUGUUUAUUAAAAACACAGCACUGUGCAAACACGAAAGUGGACGUAUACGGUGUGACGCCUGCCCGGUGCCGGAAGGUUAAUUGAUGGGGUCAGCGCAAGCGAAGCUCUUGAUCGAAGCCCCGGUAAACGGCGGCCGUAACUAUAACGGUCCUAAGGUAGCGAAAUUCCUUGUCGGGUAAGUUCCGACCUGCACGAAUGGCGUAAUGAUGGCCAGGCUGUCUCCACCCGAGACUCAGUGAAAUUGAACUCGCUGUGAAGAUGCAGUGUACCCGCGGCAAGACGGAAAGACCCCGUGAACCUUUACUAUAGCUUGACACUGAACAUUGAGCCUUGAUGUGUAGGAUAGGUGGGAGGCUUUGAAGUGUGGACGCCAGUCUGCAUGGAGCCGACCUUGAAAUACCACCCUUUAAUGUUUGAUGUUCUAACGUGGACCCGUGAUCCGGGUUGCGGACAGUGUCUGGUGGGUAGUUUGACUGGGGCGGUCUCCUCCUAAAGAGUAACGGAGGAGCACGAAGGUUGGCUAAUCCUGGUCGGACAUCAGGAGGUUAGUGCAAUGGCAUAAGCCAGCUUGACUGCGAGCGUGACGGCGCGAGCAGGUGCGAAAGCAGGUCAUAGUGAUCCGGUGGUUCUGAAUGGAAGGGCCAUCGCUCAACGGAUAAAAGGUACUCCGGGGAUAACAGGCUGAUACCGCCCAAGAGUUCAUAUCGACGGCGGUGUUUGGCACCUCGAUGUCGGCUCAUCACAUCCUGGGGCUGAAGUAGGUCCCAAGGGUAUGGCUGUUCGCCAUUUAAAGUGGUACGCGAGCUGGGUUUAGAACGUCGUGAGACAGUUCGGUCCCUAUCUGCCGUGGGCGCUGGAGAACUGAGGGGGGCUGCUCCUAGUACGAGAGGACCGGAGUGGACGCAUCACUGGUGUUCGGGUUGUCAUGCCAAUGGCACUGCCCGGUAGCUAAAUGCGGAAGAGAUAAGUGCUGAAAGCAUCUAAGCACGAAACUUGCCCCGAGAUGAGUUCUCCCUGACCCUUUAAGGGUCCUGAAGGAACGUUGAAGACGACGACGUUGAUAGGCCGGGUGUGUAAGCGCAGCGAUGCGUUGAGCUAACCGGUACUAAUGAACCGUGAGGCUUAACCUUACAACGCCGAAGGUGUUU